AGAUUGAACGCUAGCGGGAUGCCUUACACAUGCAAGUCGAACGGCAGCACGGACUUCGGUCUGGUGGCGAGUGGCGAACGGGUGAGUAAUGUAUCGGAACGUGCCUAGUAGCGGGGGAUAACUACGCGAAAGCGUAGCUAAUACCGCAUACGCCCUACGGGGGAAAGCAGGGGAUCGUAAGACCUUGCACUAUUAGAGCGGCCGAUAUCGGAUUAGCUAGUUGGUGGGGUAACGGCUCACCAAGGCGACGAUCCGUAGCUGGUUUGAGAGGACGACCAGCCACACUGGGACUGAGACACGGCCCAGACUCCUACGGGAGGCAGCAGUGGGGAAUUUUGGACAAUGGGGGAAACCCUGAUCCAGCCAUCCCGCGUGUGCGAUGAAGGUCUUCGGGUUGUAAAGCACUUUUGGCAGGAAAGAAACGUCCCGGGAUAAUACCCCGGGAAACUGACGGUACCUGCAGAAUAAGCACCGGCUAACUACGUGCCAGCAGCCGCGGUAAUACGUAGGGUGCAAGCGUUAAUCGGAAUUACUGGGCGUAAAGCGUGCGCAGGCGGUUCGGAAAGAAAGAUGUGAAAUCCCAAAGCUUAACUUUGGAACUGCAUUUUUAACUACCGAGCUAGAGUGUGUCAGAGGGAGGUGGAAUUCCGCGUGUAGCAGUGAAAUGCGUAGAUAUGCGGAGGAACACCGAUGGCGAAGGCAGCC
This 705-nucleotide ribosomal RNA is filed under the name Alcaligenaceae bacterium KAs5-R10. RNAcentral describes it as "bacterial SSU rRNA". It matches the Rfam family "Bacterial small subunit ribosomal RNA", at positions 26 to 726 of the family's 1533-position model. The record is from RNAcentral. Lineage: Bacteria; Pseudomonadati; Pseudomonadota; Betaproteobacteria; Burkholderiales; Alcaligenaceae.